This 496-nucleotide ribosomal RNA is filed under the name uncultured bacterium. Its description in RNAcentral is "partial 16S ribosomal RNA". It matches the Rfam family "Bacterial small subunit ribosomal RNA", at positions 28 to 506 of the family's 1533-position model. The record is from RNAcentral.
GAUGAACGCUGGCGGCGUGCCUAAUACAUGCAAGUCGAACGCAUAGCGAAAGGUGCUUGCACCUUUCAAGUGAGUGGCGAACGGGUGAGUAACACGUGGACAACCUGCCUCAAGGCUGGGGAUAACAUUUGGAAACAGAUGCUAAUACCGAAUAAAACUUAGUGUCGCAUGACACAAAGUUAAAAGGCGCUCCGGCGUCACCUAGAGAUGGAUCCGCGGUGCAUUAGUUAGUUGGUGGGGUAAAGGCCUACCAAGACAAUGAUGCAUAGCCGAGUUGAGAGACUGAUCGGCCACAUUGGGACUGAGACACGGCCCAAACUCCUACGGGAGGCUGCAGUAGGGAAUCUUCCACAAUGGGCGAAAGCCUGAUGGAGCAACGCCGCGUGUGUGAUGAAGGCUUUCGGGUCGUAAAGCACUGUUGUAUGGGAAGAACAGCUAGAAUAGGAAAUGAUUUUAGUUUGACGGUACCAUACCAGAAAGGGACGGCUAAAUACGU